CCUACGGGGGACAGCAGUGGGGAAUAUUGGGCAAUGGACGCAAGCCUGACCCAGCCACGCCGCGUGAAGGAAGAAUGCUUUCGGGUUGUAAACUUCUUUUAAGGUGGAAGAGCAGUAGACGGUACCCACUGAAUUAGCCACGGCUAACUACGUGCCAGCAGCCACGGUAAUACGGAGGUGGCGAGCGUUGUCCGGAUUUACUGGGUGUAACGGGCGUGCAGCCGGAUAGACAAGUCAGAUGUGAAAUCCACGGGCUCAACCCGAGAACUGCAUUUGAAACUGGUUGCCUUGAGUGUCGGAGAGGUAGGCGGAAUUCGUGGUGUAGCGGUGAAAUGCUUAGAUAUAAGGAAGAACACCAGUGGCGAAGGCGGAUUACUGGACUAUAACUGACGGUGAGGCGCGAAAGCGUGGGGAGCAAACAGGAUUAGAUACCCGAGUAGUC
RNAcentral lists this ribosomal RNA (442 nucleotides) under uncultured bacterium. Its description in RNAcentral is "partial 16S ribosomal RNA". It matches the Rfam family "Bacterial small subunit ribosomal RNA", at positions 338 to 795 of the family's 1533-position model. The record is from RNAcentral.